CCCAAUCACGCGCAUAACUCGCCCAUUACUAGCCUUUGGCAAAGGGCCCUACUCAUCGCAGGUUUUCAAAGUCCUCCCGAAGUCCCAUCUCUUCUAAACUUUUAAGAGGCACAUUUCUCCGCUGUACGGAAUGGGAACCUCUGAAAGAUGUCUCCUCCCGUACAAACCGGUUUAUUGGCGCGGCCAUUUCUCUGGCCCCCCAAUACGGUCGUGGCAGUUACAGAACCACUCGCACAGCGAUGCUACUGGUUACUGGGAUGGCUUCAGGGAGGGAAACUGCGCGUGAGGAGGAAUGGUGACGAACAGUACCGACGGUAGGGGUAAAGGAUCAAGAAAGUGGUUGUCGGAGGAAGUUGUGACUGAUUUGGGAACUCCAGGCGGACCUCGCCAGAAUAAGCAUCCUGGUGGAAACAUGAGAGUAGGGGAUGAAGGAAGGCAGAGGGUUCACUUGGAGCAGAAGUGAGACAGAGCUGGUGGUCUGUGGGCAGAGCGACAUGUUCGAGUGUGGAUUUUGUAAAGAAGCAAAUUUGCUGGAAGUCGGGCAAGUUGACCAGCUGAAGAGGCACCAGAAAAACUGGAGCAGACACCUGAGGCAAGCUAUAGCCCUUAAAGAGAAAAAGGGCCUGAACAACCUCAUCCACAAAUCAGGAACAUCUCCCCCUCCAUUCUGCAUGGAGCUAUGUUUCCUAUCUCCUGAGUCACAGAAAACUGCAGCCUCCAUUCUGGGUGAGGUAUAGGAGUUCUGAGCCCUCCUGACCUGGACAACAUCUAAAUGUAGUUGGUAAGGAUACAGGAUGGUGUCUCUUAACAGCCCAGGCAACUCUGCUCCUUUCCCUGUCAUUUUUCUGCUUGUUACUAGAGAUCAUGGUUUAACAGCCUUGCAUUCUGGUGUGUUGGGCAGUGGGGCAGGCAGGGCUUCAGGGUGUCCCCAGUGCUGCCUUACCACGACAAUCCAUGUGACAGAGGUUCUGG
Long non-coding RNA from Felis catus (domestic cat), 972 nucleotides. RefSeq lists it as uncharacterized. NCBI's taxonomy places the organism in Eukaryota, Metazoa, Chordata, Mammalia, Carnivora, Felidae. The record is from RefSeq and is a predicted model, not a curated record. The transcript is spliced from 3 exons.